Helianthus annuus (common sunflower) is the source of this 72-nucleotide non-coding RNA. Lineage: Eukaryota; Viridiplantae; Streptophyta; Magnoliopsida; Asterales; Asteraceae. The record is from Rfam.
UAUCAUAUGAUGAGCUACUCGGAUUCCCCUUCAGGACAUCAUGGAUGAUGCUAAAACCGAGUUUCUGAUGGU